GGCACCUUCGGUGUCCGAGUUGUAAUUUGAAGAAGGUAACUUUGGAGUUGGCUCUUGUCUAUGUUCCUUGGAACAGGACGUCACAGAGGGUGAGAAUCCCGUGCGAUGAGAUGCCCAAUUCUAUGUAAAGUGCUUUCGAAGAGUCGAGUUGUUUGGGAAUGCAGCUCUAAGUGGGUGGUAAAUUCCAUCUAAAGCUAAAUAUUGGCGAGAGACCGAUAGCGAACAAGUACAGUGAUGGAAAGAUGAAAAGAACUUUGAAAAGAGAGUGAAAAAGUACGUGAAAUUGUUGAAAGGGAAGGGCUUGAGAUCAGACUUGGUAUUUUGCGAUCCUUUCCUUCUUGGUUGGGUUCCUCGCAGCUUACUGGGCCAGCAUCGGUUUGGAUGGUAGGAUAAUGACUAAGGAAUGUGGCUCUACUUCGGUGGAGUGUUAUAGCCUUGGUUGAUACUGCCUGUCUAGACCGAGGACUGCGUCUUUGACUA
RNAcentral lists this ribosomal RNA (480 nucleotides) under Debaryomyces fabryi. RNAcentral describes it as "eukaryotic LSU rRNA". It matches the Rfam family "Eukaryotic large subunit ribosomal RNA", at positions 124 to 609 of the family's 3401-position model. The record is from RNAcentral. Lineage: Eukaryota; Fungi; Ascomycota; Pichiomycetes; Serinales; Debaryomycetaceae.